UGGGGGCGCAGUCACGCCGGGGCCGACCGGCCGCGAACGCCCGCGGGGAGCGGGAGAGGGUUUGCUCUGGCUACGGAGCUGGGAGCAGGGUGCUGGUGACGGGGCUCCCAGCACCUACUCAGUACCCUUCACCCAACCCCUGCCUCGGGCGUGGACUCCCGGCGGAGGCUCUGGGAGCCGGGCUGAGGGCUUGAGCCUAGCGUAUCUGGGAGAACUGGAGAGAGGAGUCUCAGAUGGCUAAAGUCAGGGGCGCCAGUUGGAGAGCCGGUGGCUCCUCCGAUACUCACACGCCCGGAUUUAACCAGUUCAGGGAGGGCCCAGAACCUAGACCUCCACCAGUCAUGGUGGGCUGUGUCUCCCACCUCCCCAGGGCAACCCAGAUCCAGCCCCCAACCUACCCCGGGCCCAUUCCUGUGUGGGCACCCGGACCCUACCCUUGCCCCACAGAGUGGCCCGCAGCCCCUGGCGGGGAGAGCAAGGGCUGUGAUUGGGGCCCAACAGAAACAGGAUAUUCAGAAGGGGCUUUCCCUCCUGAGGGACCACAUCUCCAAGCUUCAGACUUCCAGACAAGUCCCAGGGCACGGACGUGACCCAUUACGAACAGGCAGUGAAGCUGUGGCAGGGCUGGAGCUGCCCCAGGCUCUGGCAUCAUCCCCGAGGGCUGGAGCUCACUCCCCGCUAGAGGCUUUUCCGGACCCCACGUCCACAGGCAGGUGCAUCUGGUGAAGCUUUCGGCCACAGUGAGUCAUGGCAUAGCCAACGGGUGACACAGCACGAGGCACCCCCCCCGCCCCCCUCCACUGUCUCUUGUGAGCAGAGUUAAUCCCCAAGCUGGUGUUUCUUGGCGCCUUCGAGGUGUAUUUUAAAUUCUGCAAAGUGACUAAAAAUAUGCUUCAGCGUGCUGGGUAUGAAUGACUGUGACGGGAGGGUUAGGAAAACAGAUUUCAUUCUCAAAGUUGCCUGCUGCCUCUUUCCAGCUCGCUGAGCUCAGGCCUGCAAAGGCGGAUGGGGGGAGUUCCCCAUGGUGGCCUGGCAUGACGGGUGAUUAACAAACAAGGACAGAGAGCUAGGAGCUCCGUGGGGCUAGAACCCGGCCCCAGCAAUGAUCUCGUUGGAGUGCAGUGGUGCCAUCUCCCUUCACGACGAACUCCACCCCCCAUCCCCAGGAUCAAGCGAUCCUCCCACCUCAGCCUCCCAGAGCUGGGACCACAGAUGCGUGCCACCACGCC
RNAcentral lists this long non-coding RNA (1229 nucleotides) under Homo sapiens (human). RNAcentral's name for it is "HSALNT0388131". Lineage: Eukaryota; Metazoa; Chordata; Mammalia; Primates; Hominidae. The record is from RNAcentral.